RNAcentral lists this small RNA (173 nucleotides) under Theobroma cacao (cacao). Its description in RNAcentral is "sRNA Tc05v2_g008250". Lineage: Eukaryota; Viridiplantae; Streptophyta; Magnoliopsida; Malvales; Malvaceae. The record is from RNAcentral.
GGGAAAAUAGGUGGAAAUUCAAAAAUCAAGUGAAAAAAGGUGGUGAGUCAAUUGUUUCGGGUAAGAGACUGUACCCGAGGAUGGAGGAUAGGAGUAUUUCUACUCCUAAUAUUGCUCAGGACAGUUUGUAGAUAGUCGAGUAGGACGAGAACUAAGCUCGAAAUUGCAUUAUA